UGAGGAAUAUUGGUCAAUGGGCGGAAGCCUGAACCAGCCAAGUCGCGUGAGGGAAGACGGCCCUACGGGUUGUAAACCUCUUUUGCCGGGGGAGCAAUGCCCAGCUCGCGAGCUGGGAAGGAGAGUACCCGGAGAAAAAGCAUCGGCUAACUCCGUGCC
This 159-nucleotide ribosomal RNA is filed under the name uncultured bacterium. Its description in RNAcentral is "partial 16S ribosomal RNA". It matches the Rfam family "Bacterial small subunit ribosomal RNA", at positions 355 to 509 of the family's 1533-position model. The record is from RNAcentral.